Molecule: unclassified non-coding RNA, 4151 nt
Filed under: Hevea brasiliensis (rubber tree)
Lineage: Eukaryota; Viridiplantae; Streptophyta; Magnoliopsida; Malpighiales; Euphorbiaceae
Source: RNAcentral
UGGAUGGGUGGUGAUCGUGAUGGUGUGUCUCUUUGUUACAUUAAGUAGUUGCUUUCUAAACACAUGACUUAUACCCUUAAUUGAUAGUUGAAAUUGAAACUAAAAAUUAUUACAGAAUUCAAUUCUGAAAAUAGUUUGGACCUGCCUUACGAUGGACUUAGGAUUUAGGAAUUCAUUUUUAUUAUAGGGUGACUUGCAAUAAGAAGGCAGAAAAAGAACAUCAGAAUGCUCCUAAAAGAGAUUGAUAGAAACAGGUGCAUGGAUGGCACAAAAGGAUCAUGCAUCUGAUCCAUUGGGAUGUAAACUAAGUUCAGCUGUAAGAAUAUAUGUGAGAUGAGGUGAAUAGGUUUUCUUAAUUAAAAUUUCUGAUAGAGAUAUUUGAUUUGUUACAAAUGGAACCUCAAGCUAUUCAGGAUUUAUUCUGUGGUCAAUGCACAUAAUAAUGGUGCACCUUCACUUACAAACAUGUGUGAUCAGCCCAAGAUUAGCUUGUCACUUCCACAUGCUUGAGGGGAAGGUGCACUAAAUGAUUUCUCCAAGUUGUCAAGAAGUCUAUAGAUAAUUAUGUUCUUGGGCUUAUUUUUCGUUGGUUGUUUGCACAAUAUCGAAUAUAGGUGGAAGUUGUUGGAUGCAUGAGUUUUCUUGAAUUUCCUUCUCUCAUCCCCACUUCCGUGAGCACUGAGCAGCAAUUUCUUUUUCACUAUGGUAUUUUGCUUUUUUAAUAUCAGCCUGUCUGAUGGUGAAUUGCAGGAAAUCCUCGAGUAACUCCUGAAGUUACAAGGGAUGUUUGCUUACUGGCUAGAAUGAUGGCUGCCAACUUAUAUUUCUCCCAAAUAGAGGAUCUUAUGUUUGAGUUGUCAAUGUGGCGAUGCAAUGACGAACUUCGUGUUCAUGCGGAUGAACUUCAUCGGUCUUCAAGGAAAGAUGCAAAACACUACAUAGGUAUGUAAUUGAUUGGAAUUUGGCAUUUUGAAAAUGUAUGAAAACAUCAUUGUAUCACAAGUUUAUUCUCUAUCCCCUCUGAUUUUAUGUUGAAAAUUUUGUUUAGUUAUGAUGUCAAGAAUGUCAAGUGCCAAAGUUACUAUCACUUCUGAAAGAUUGUAUGCCUUCUUUAAUAAAUUGGGUGGAGAAACAAAUUUCUUCAAUGUGUUUCAAGUUGCUUACUCUAUUGGAUUUGCCUUUGUGGGGUUUAUUAUUAACAUUUGAACUCUAAUUAUUUAUUUGGGGCAUUUUCAAUGCAUUGUGUACACAGAAUUUUGGAAACAGAUUCCUCCAAGUGAACCUUAUCGUGUUAUUCUCGGUGAUGUGAGGGACAAACUUUAUAAUACACGUGAACGCUCUCGUCAUUUAUUAGUCAAUGGUAUUUCUGACAUUCCUGAGGAAGCGACUUUUACUAAUGUUGAGCAGGUCUCUUCUCUCUUUACUUUUUUCUUUUAUACCAUUGAAUUGUAUCUAAUUUUAAGUUAUAUGCAUGUUGAAAAUAAAACUAAUAAAUAUCAGGAAUGUGCAUGGAAAAUAUGAAAAAUCCUUUUCUCCAUAUGAGAAAAAGAAAAAAUAACAUAUAGUAAACAAUAGUUCUGAAAAUGAGCCAGCUUUUAUUUGGAAUAAUUUGCAAAUCACAAAUACUGUAUUUGAUGCUUUUGUUUUGUGAAAUGCAAAGUAUUAUGAGACCAAAUCAAGAUACCAAAAGGAAGCACAGAAACAUGGAAUAACAAGUAAAGAAUUUAUAUCAUAAUAUUUUAGGAGCUAAAGGCAAUUUCUUGUUGCUAUCUUAGAACUUGAAUUGAUCAAGCUUCACUUCAAUGCUGAGGAUUUGAUCAAUAAAAGGUUGCAGAAGCAUUGGAGCAAUGCUGGAGAUUUGGUUAAUAGUUGAUGGGUUACUGAUAAUAUUAUUGAAAUUUGUAAUAAUGAAUUUAUAGGACUUAAAAUGUUGCACUAGAUUUCAGAAGUUCUGCUGGCAUAAAAUCUUUAAUUUAUUAAUUGCCAGUGAUAUAUGUCCAAGUUACUUUCUUUUACAAUCAAAUAUAUGGUGCAUGGCUAUCCUUUUAUGCAUUUAUUGUUAUAAGAUGCAUCUUCGCUUCUUCCCUUUUCCAAGGUAGUUCUGGUUACAUGAAGCAGGGUCCAGGAAGGAAACUCCUGAAUUGGUCUUAUCUUAGCAUGAAAGGCUCCCUAAGGCCUUCUUUUGCAAUUAAUUGUUCAUAACUUGCUUGUUCAAGAAUUUCAUUUGUGCACAGGAUAAUGACACUAUUGCUCAUGGACUUUCUUUUGUUCCUAUAGUUCUUGCAGCCUCUUGAACUCUGUUACAGAUCACUCUGUGCUUGUGGUGAUCGACCUAUUGCAGAUGGAAGCCUUCUUGAUUUCCUACGGCAAGUUUCUACCUUUGGGCUUUCCCUUGUAAGACUUGAUAUCCGACAGGAAUCUGACAGGCAUACUGAUGUUCUUGAUGCUAUUACAAAUCAUUUGGGGAUUGGAUCUUAUCGAGAAUGGUCUGAGGAAUGCAGGCAGGAAUGGCUCUUAUCUGAGCUCAGAGGCAAGCGUCCCCUUUUUGGCCCUGAUCUUCCUAAAACGGAGGAAAUUGCUGAUGUAUUAGACACAUUUCAUGUCAUUGCGGAACUUCCUGCAGACAACUUUGGUGCCUAUAUAAUUUCAAUGGCUACAGCACCAUCUGAUGUACUUGCUGUUGAGCUUUUACAGCGUGAAUGUCAUGUCAAGCAGCCAUUGAGGGUUGUUCCAUUGUUUGAGAAGCUUGCUGAUCUUGAAGCUGCUCCUGCUGCUGUUUCUCGUCUUUUCUCAAUAGAUUGGUAUAGAAACCGGAUCAAUGGGAAGCAAGAAGUCAUGAUAGGGUACUCGGAUUCUGGAAAGGAUGCUGGGCGUCUCUCUGCUGCUUGGCAGCUAUAUAAAUCUCAGGAAGAGCUUGUGAAGGUGGCAAAGCAGUUUGGGGUGAAGCUAACAAUGUUCCAUGGCCGAGGAGGGACAGUCGGAAGAGGAGGAGGGCCCACUCAUCUUGCUAUCUUAUCUCAACCACCUGACACCAUCCAUGGAUCACUUCGUGUGACAGUUCAAGGUGAAGUUAUUGAACAGUCUUUUGGGGAAGAACACUUGUGUUUCAGAACACUCCAGCGUUUUACAGCAGCCACACUUGAACAUGGAAUGCAUCCCCCUGUCUCACCAAAGCCAGAAUGGCGUGCACUUAUGGAUGAGAUGGCAAUUAUUGCCACCAAGGAAUAUCGUUCCAUAGUCUUUCAAGAACCCCGUUUUGUGGAAUACUUUCGCCUUGCAACGCCAGAGUUGGAGUAUGGUCGGAUGAACAUUGGAAGUAGACCAUCUAAAAGGAAGCCAAGUGGUGGGAUUGAAUCACUCCGAGCAAUCCCUUGGAUCUUUGCAUGGACUCAGACAAGGUUUCAUCUGCCUGUCUGGCUUGGCUUUGGGGCAGCAUUUAAGCAUGUCAUUGAGAAGGAUGUAAAGAAUCUUCACAUGCUUCAGGAAAUGUACAAUCAAUGGCCUUUCUUUAGGGUCACAAUUGACUUGGUUGAGAUGGUGUUUGCCAAGGGUGAUCCAGGAAUUGCUGCGUUAUAUGACAAGCUUCUAGUAUCCAAAGAAUUGUGGCCUUUUGGAGAGCGCUUGAGAGCGAACUGUGAAGAAACCAAGCGCCUUCUCCUACAGAUCGCUGGUCAUAAAGAUCUUCUUGAAGGAGACCCAUACCUGAAGCAAAGGCUUCGACUUCGUGAUGCCUAUAUCACAACACUUAAUGUCUGCCAAGCUUACACUUUGAAGCAGAUUCGUGAUCCUGACUACCAUGUAACAGUAAGACCACACUUAUCAAAAGAAUACAUGGAAUCAAGCAAACCAGCUGCGGAGCUUGUCAAGCUUAACCCUACUAGCGAGUAUGCUCCUGGUCUGGAAGAUACCCUCAUUUUGACCAUGAAGGGUAUUGCUGCUGGCAUGCAAAACACUGGUUAAGAUGUAGUAAUGAUGUUAUUUCAGAUUCCAUCAUACAUAUAAAAUAGACUCCACUGAAAAAUAUGAGCUUUGUAUUUAUGGGAUGCUUUGAGCAGCAUCUAAUAAAUCCCUAAAUUAGCUUAGCUCGCUGGAUGUCUUAUUCUUCUUUCUAUUCGUUUUUUUUGCUUUUCAAGAAAAAGAAAGCCUUUAAC